RNAcentral lists this ribosomal RNA (463 nucleotides) under uncultured bacterium. RNAcentral describes it as "partial 16S ribosomal RNA". It matches the Rfam family "Bacterial small subunit ribosomal RNA", at positions 28 to 507 of the family's 1533-position model. The record is from RNAcentral.
GACGAACGCUGGCGGUGUGCUUAACACAUGCAAGUCGAACGGUGAACCUCUUCGGAGGGGAUCAGUGGCGAACGGGUGAGUAACACGUGGGCAACCUGCCCCCGGCUCUGGGAUAACUCCAAGAAAUUGGGGCUAAUACCGGAUGUUCACCGCUUCCCGCAUGGGUGGUGGUGGAAAGGGUUUCCGGCUGGGGAUGGGCCCGCGGCCUAUCAGCUUGUUGGUGGGGUAGUGGCCUACCAAGGCGACGACGGGUAGCCGGCCUGAGAGGGUGACCGGCCACACUGGGACUGAGACACGGCCCAGACUCCUACGGGAGGCAGCAGUGGGGAAUAUUGCGCAAUGGGCGGAAGCCUGACGCAGCGACGCCGCGUGGGGGAUGACGGCCUUCGGGUUGUAAACCUCUUUCAGCAGGGACGAAGCGCAAGUGACGGUACCUGCAGAAGAAGCACCGGCCAACUACGUG